RNAcentral lists this ribosomal RNA (253 nucleotides) under uncultured bacterium. RNAcentral's name for it is "partial 16S ribosomal RNA". It matches the Rfam family "Bacterial small subunit ribosomal RNA", at positions 524 to 776 of the family's 1533-position model. The record is from RNAcentral.
UACAGAGGGGGCAAGCGUUGUUCGGAAUUACUGGGCGUAAAGGGCGCGUAGGCGGCCUUCUAAGUCGAACGUGAAAUCCCUGGGCUCAACCCAGGAACUGCACUCGAAACUACUUUUCUUGAGUGCCGGAGAGGAAAGCGGAAUUCCUGGUGUAGAGGUGAAAUUCGUAGAUAUCAGGAGGAACACCAGUGGCGAAGGCGGCUUUCUGGACGGUAACUGACGCUGAGACGCGAAAGCGUGGGGAGCAAACAGG